This 478-nucleotide ribosomal RNA is filed under the name uncultured bacterium. Its description in RNAcentral is "partial 16S ribosomal RNA". It matches the Rfam family "Bacterial small subunit ribosomal RNA", at positions 28 to 523 of the family's 1533-position model. The record is from RNAcentral.
GACGAACGCUGGCGGCGUGCUUAACACAUGCAAGUCGAACGGUAAGGCCCUUCGGGGUACACGAGUGGCGAACGGGUGAGUAACACGUGGGUGAUCUGCCCUGCACUUCGGGAUAAGCCUGGGAAACUGGGUCUAAUACCGGAUAGGACUCCUGGCUUCAUGGUUGGGGGUGGAAAGCUUUUGCGGUGUGGGAUGGGCCCGCGGUCUAUCAGCUUGUUGGUGGGGUAAUGUCCUACCAAGGCGACGACGGGUAGCCGGCCUGGGAGGGUGACCGGUCACACUGGGACUGAGAUACGGCCCAGACUCCGACGGGAGGCAGCAGUGGGGAAUAUUGCACAAUGGGCGCAAGCCUGAUGCAGCGACGCCGCGGGAGGGAUGACGGCCUUCGGGUUGUAAACCUCUUUCAGCUAUGACGAAGCGCAAGUGACGGUAGUAGCAGAAGAAGGACCGGCCAACUACGUGCCAGCCGCCGCGGUAA